RNAcentral lists this ribosomal RNA (253 nucleotides) under uncultured bacterium. Its description in RNAcentral is "partial 16S ribosomal RNA". It matches the Rfam family "Bacterial small subunit ribosomal RNA", at positions 524 to 776 of the family's 1533-position model. The record is from RNAcentral.
GACGAAGGUGGCAAGCGUUGUUCGGAUUCACUGGGCAUAAAGGGCGCGUAGGCGGUUCUGCAAGUGGCUCGUGAAAGCCCCCGGCUCAACCGGGGAAGUGCGGGCCAGACUGCAGUCCUUGAGGCUGGGAGGGGAGACUGGAACUCUCGGUGGAGCGGUGAAAUGCGUAGAUAUCGAGAGGAACACCGGUGGCGAAGGCGAGUCUCUGGUCCAGCUCUGACGCUGAGGCGCGAAAGCGUGGGUAGCAAACAGG